This 493-nucleotide ribosomal RNA is filed under the name uncultured bacterium. RNAcentral's name for it is "partial 16S ribosomal RNA". It matches the Rfam family "Bacterial small subunit ribosomal RNA", at positions 29 to 523 of the family's 1533-position model. The record is from RNAcentral.
AUUGAACGCUGGCGGCAUGCUUUACACAUGCAAGUCGAACGGUAACAGGUUAAGCUGACGAGUGGCGAACGGGUGAGUAAUGCAUCGGAACGUGCCCGAUCGUGGGGGAUAACGCAGCGAAAGCUGCGCUAAUACCGCAUACGGUCUGAGGAUGAAAGCGGGGGACCGGAAGGCCUCGCGCGAUCGGAGCGGCCGAUGUCAGAUUAGGUAGUUGGUGGGGUAAAGGCUCACCAGGCCGACGAUCUGUAGCUGGUCUGAGAGGACGACCAGCCACACUGGGACUGAGACACGGCCCAGACUCCUACGGGAGGCAGCAGUGGGGAAUUUUGGACAAUGGGCGCAAGCCUGAUCCAGCAAUGCCGCGUGCAGGAAGAAGGCCUUCGGGUUGUAAACUGCUUUUGUACGGAGCGAAAAGGCUCUCUCUAAUACAGGGGGCUCAUGACGGUACCGUAAGAAUAAGCACCGGCUAACUACGUGCCAGCCGCCGCUGUAA